RNAcentral lists this ribosomal RNA (377 nucleotides) under uncultured bacterium. RNAcentral describes it as "bacterial SSU rRNA". It matches the Rfam family "Bacterial small subunit ribosomal RNA", at positions 521 to 896 of the family's 1533-position model. The record is from RNAcentral.
UAAGACAGAGGAUGCAAGCGUUAUCCGGAAUGAUUGGGCGUAAAGCGUCUGUAGGUGGCUUUUUAAGUCUGCCGUCAAAUCCCAGGGCUUAACCCUGGACAGGCGGUGGAAACUACCAAGCUGGAGUACGGUAGGGGCAGAGGGAAUUUCCGGUGGAGCGGUGAAAUGCGUAGAGAUCGGAAAGAACACCAACGGCGAAGGCACUCUGCUGGGCCGACACUGACACUGAGAGACGAAAGCUAGGGGAGCAAAUGGGAUUAGAUACCCCAGUAGUCCUAGCCGUAAACGAUGGAUACUAAGCGCUGUGCGUAUCGACCCGUGCAGUGCUGUAGCUAACGCGUUAAGUAUCCCGCCUGGGGAGUACGUUCGCAAGAAUG